Molecule: ribosomal RNA, 254 nt
Filed under: uncultured bacterium
Lineage: Bacteria
Description: partial 16S ribosomal RNA
Rfam family: Bacterial small subunit ribosomal RNA
Source: RNAcentral
UACGGGGGGAGCAAGCGUUGUUCGGAUUUACUGGGCGUAAAGGGCGCGUAGGCGGCCACUGCAAGUCGGUUGUGAAAUCUCCGGGCUUAACCCGGAAAGGUCAACCGAUACUGCAGGGCUAGAGUGCAGAAGGGGCAACUGGAAUUCUCGGUGUAGCGGUGAAAUGCGUAGAUAUCGAGAGGAACACCUGCGGCGAAGGCGGGUUGCUGGGCUGACACUGACGCUGAAGCGCGAAAGCUAGGGGAGCGAACAGG